This 148-nucleotide non-coding RNA is filed under the name Homo sapiens (human). Lineage: Eukaryota; Metazoa; Chordata; Mammalia; Primates; Hominidae. The record is from Rfam by way of RNAcentral.
GCUGGGCGUGGUGGUGCACGCCUGUAAUCCUAGCUACUCGGGAGGCUGAGGUAGGAGAAUCACUUGAACCUGGGAGGCGGAGGUUGCAGUGAGCCAAGAUUGCGCCACUGCACUCCAGCCUGGGCAACAGAGUGAGACUCUGUCUCAA